Oryctolagus cuniculus (rabbit) is the source of this 4210-nucleotide non-coding RNA. NCBI's taxonomy places the organism in Eukaryota, Metazoa, Chordata, Mammalia, Lagomorpha, Leporidae. The record is from RefSeq and is a predicted model, not a curated record.
ACGCACCUUACGCCUGUGUCUUCGGCGCAUGCGCGUGAUGGUCUCCGCCCAGAGGCACGCGCCGUAGGUUCUGUGGGGUGCGCGCACUAGACUCUUCCUUGGAGCAGAAAUGCUUUGCCGGCUGGGCGCCUGGAGCGUUCGGCAGAUUUCUGCCGCGCAGCUCCGAGCCUCAGGCCCGCCGCUACUGCCGGCGCCAACGAUUGGUGCCCAGCGUCCCGCUCUCCCAGUGUGGUCAGUGGCGUCGGUGUCUGCAGUUGGCGCGAGCGGCUGGUAUGAGGCGCUGGCCGCGUCGGCGCCCGUCCGCGCCGCGGAGGAAGCGCUGCUCGCCGCGCACGCUGCCACGGGCCUUCCGUGGUGGGGCAGCAUCUUGCUCACCACCGUGGCCUUGCGGGGCGCCGUCACGCUACCCCUGGCCGCCUAUCAGCACUACGUUCUGGCCAAGGUGGAAAAUUUGCAACCAGAAAUAAAAAGCAUCGCCAGCCGUCUUAACCAAGAAGUUGCAUUGCGUGCAAAUCAGUUUGGGUGGUCCAAAAGAGUUGCCAGGCUCACUUAUCUAAGGAAUAUGAAGAGGCUUGUUUCAGAACUGUAUGUUCGGGAUAAUUGCCACCCGUUCAAAGCCACUGUCUUGGUUUGGGUUCAGCUUCCCAUGUGGAUCUUCAUGUCUGUUGCUCUGCGGAAUUUUAGCACAGGGACAGCACAUUCAGAAGCAGGUCUUUCUGUUCAGGAGCAGUUUACUACUGGAGGGGUCCUUUGGUUUCCUGACCUCACUGCACUGGAUUCCACUUGGAUUUUGCCUGUGUCUGUUGGUGUCAUCAAUUUAUUAAUAGUGGAGAUUUUUGCUCUACAGAAAGCUGGAAUGUCUCGUUUUCAGAUAUACAUCACCCACUUUGUCCGCACACUGUCAGUUUUGAUGAUUCCAAUUGCUGCAACCGUCCCUUCAGUGAUCACUUGCUCUCUACUGGUUGUGCUCCAGCUUCAUGGGCCUCUCCCAGAACUUGCUGUUGCGUUCUCCUGGAUUUCGCCGGCUCUGCCGAAUACCGUUGACCAAGUCAGAUUCAGACACUCCGUAUAAAGACCUGUUUGCUGCCUUUUACACCAAGUUCCUUUUAAGAAAAUGAUAUAUUUUUCAGUAAUUUUGAAACCAUGAAAUCCCGGCACUCGCAGUAUAAGGAUAUUGAUCAACACCUCUGAAGGUAUUGUGUCAAAUCCUAGUAGAAGUCUUACCCUAGUGAAACAUAACAUUGAAUUUGGGUAAAAAACAGUUUUGUUUUUUUUUUUUUAAGAUUUAUUUAUUUAUUUGAAAAAGUUACACACAUAGAAGGAGAGGCAGAAAGAGAGGACUUCUAUCCGCUGGUUCACUCCCCAGUUGGCCGCAGCAGCUGGAGAUGUGCCAAUCUGAAGCCAGGAGAGGAGCCCAGCACUUCUGUGUCUCCCACACGGGUGCAGGGGCCCAAGGACUUGGGCCAUCUUCUAGUGCUUUCCCAGGGCAUAGCAGAGAGCUGGAUCAGAAGUGGAGCAGCCGGGCCUCGAACCAGCACCCAUAUGGAUGCCUGCACUGCAGGCAGUGGCUUUACCUGCUACACCACAGCACUAUCCCCAAAACAAGAGAUCUUGAAGUAUGAUCAUCCAAGCAUACAAGUACCUAAUGUGUAGAUAAUGUUGCCUUUCAGCUUUGCUGUAAAACAAUUUAAAAACUAUACAUCCCUUUGUAAUUUGAGAAGUCUGGAAUACAGAGUAUGAUAUUUUGCAUUGUUAAAUCAUAGUCAAAAAUUUUGAGCAUUAAAUUUGUUGGUCAAAGGAAGAAAACUAGAAGAAUUGCCACCUAUUAUAGAGGUGAUUUUAAACUUGUUUAGAGGGAGAUGUUUAGCCUAGUAGCUAAAACACCCAUUAAAAUGCAUGUAGCCUGCACUGGAUUACCUGGGUUCAAUUCCAGGCUCAGGCUCCUAACUCUAGCUUCCUGCUGAUACAGAUUCUGGGAGGCAGCAAAAUGGCUGAAGUAAUUGGAUUCCUGCCACACAUGUGGGAGACCUGCCUUGUGCUUCCAUCCUAGCACACAACCCCUGCUGUUCCCAGCCCCAGCCAUUCAUGGGAUUUAGGGAGUGAACCAGUGGAUGGGAGCUCAAGCUCUCUCACUUGCUCGCUCGCUCUCUGGCUCUCUCUGCCUCUCAAGUAAAAAUAAAUUUUUAGUUAAUACAAAAAUAAACUAGUUUACUUGGAAACGUUAAAUGAUGAGAUUAUCAUAGAGGCUUAAGUUAGGAAAAAUGCAUGGUACAAAUUAUGAAACCAGUUUGUUUAAUUCACAAAAUGAUUAGAUUAAAUUAGCUGAGAUAUUUGGGGACUGGCCAGACAUUUAAAAAGGUGUUUUUUGUUUUUUUUUUUUUUUUGACAGGCAGAGUGGACAGUGAGAGAGAGAGACAGAGAGAAAGGUCUUCCUUUGCCAUUGCUUCACCCUCCAACCCUCCAAUGGCCGCCACGGCUGGCGCGCUGCGGCCAGUGCACUGUGCGCUGACCCGAAGGCAGGAGCCAGGUGCUUCUCCUGGUCUCCCAUGGGGUGCAGGGCCCAAGCACUUGGGCCAUCCUCCACUGCCCUCCCGGGCCACAGCAGAGAGCUGGCCUGGAAGAGGGGCAACCAGGACAGAAUUCGUCGCCCCGACUGGGACUAGAACCCGGUGUGCUGGCGCUGCUAGGUGGAGGAUUAGCCUAUUGAGCCGCGGCGCCGGCCUGAAAAGGUUUUAAGUGUAAAUUUUCACUGAGUUAAAACAGGGACCUGAUUCUGAGAAACCCUAUUUAUAUAUAUAAAAUAUAUAUUUAUGUAUUAUAUUUAUAUAAUAUGUAUUUAUAUAUUUAUAAAUAUAUAUAAAUAUACUGUAUUAUAUAUUAUAUAAAUAUAUAAUUUUUAUGUAAUAAUUCAUCUCACUGUUUUACCAUAAAGUAAAAAGUAAAAUCAGUCAUUACUCUGAGUGAUGUUUGCUAAAUCUUAGUUGCCCUGUUUCAUGAAGCUGUGCAGGCUUUACUAUAAAGUAAUGCACAGCAUGUGGAGGUAAGAAUUGUGGCUGGCAUGCUCCUGCAGCUUGCUGAGAAAGGUAACUGGUGGUAACUGAGAACAGGUUCUCUCCCGGAAUUCCCAGUCCUGGUUUAUGACUGCCCUGUUCAGGCAACAGUGCUUCCCAGUCACAGUCAAGGACCUGAGGCGUGUGUUCACGUGGUCCACAGUAUUUGGUGGUUUCAUCACUGUGCAUCUGCCUCUUUUGUAAAAUGUAUUCAGAACCCCCAAAUCAGUGCUUGCUGUGCUUUUAUAUUUUUUGUUCUAAAGAUUUAUUUAUUUGAAACAGUUACAGACUGGGAGAGACAGAGAAAUGUCUUUAAUCUGCUCAUUCACUCCCCAAACGGCCACAAUGCCCAGAGCUGGGCAAGGCUGUACCCAAGAGCCAGGAGCUUCUUUGGGUCUCCCACGUGGGUGGCAGCGGCCAUGUUCCACUGCUUUCCCAGGCUGUUAGCAGGGAGGUGGAUCAGAAGUGGAGCAGCCAGGACAUGAACUUCCAUUUCUAUACAUCUCUUUAGACCACUCUGGAAUGAUAGGAUUAUCUUUUGUGUUCCUUGAGAUGACUAGUUGCAGGGAGGGUGGGAGUUUUCAUCAACCAGAAAUGCAUGCCCCACCCUCAGCCUCUGGGCAGAGGGAAGGGCCCAUGGUUUGAUCAGCCACGCCUACCUCAUGAAGUUUCUAUAGCAAACUGAAAGGUCUGCUCCAGGGUAUGUUCCAGGAGGGUGGCUUACCUGGAGAGGGCAGAUGCUCCACCCCUCUUGCCCUGCACCUUGCCACAUGCUCCUUUUCCCUGCUGGGGGGAAAAUUGCCACAUAUUUUGAUGAGCAGAGGUGAUCAGUAUUGAGAGUUAAAAGUAAGAGCAUUGGAGGCUGGUGGGUAAAGCCACCACCUGCAGUGCCUGCAUCCCAUGUGAGCACCAGUUCAAGUCCUGGCUUCUCCACUGCUGGUCCCACUCUCUGCUUACAGCCUGGGAAAGCAGUAGAAGAUGGCCCAAGUUUUGGGUCCCUGAACCCGCAUGGGAGAAUUGGAAGAAGCUCCUGGCUCCUGGCUUAAGAUGGGCCCAGCUCCAUUAGUAAUGGCCAUUUAAGGAGUAAACCAGUGGAUGGCCGGGUUUUUUUUUUUCUCUCUGCCUCUCUCUAACUCUGCCUUUCAAAUAAAUAAAUCUUU